Molecule: microRNA precursor, 160 nt
Filed under: Oryza brachyantha (malo sina)
Lineage: Eukaryota; Viridiplantae; Streptophyta; Magnoliopsida; Poales; Poaceae
Description: MIR812 microRNA precursor family
Rfam family: MIR812 microRNA precursor family
Source: Rfam by way of RNAcentral
CAGUGUUUUGACUCUUCAUUUUAUUUGAAAUGUUUUUAUAAUUAAUAAUUUUAUUGUUACUAGAUGAUAAAAUAUGAAUAAUAUUUUAUACGUGACUAAUUUUUUAAGUUUUUUUAUAAAUUUUUCAAAUAAGACGGAUGGUCAAAGCGUUGUACGCAGA